RNAcentral lists this ribosomal RNA (127 nucleotides) under Didymellaceae sp. RNAcentral describes it as "partial large subunit ribosomal RNA". It matches the Rfam family "Eukaryotic large subunit ribosomal RNA", at positions 99 to 225 of the family's 3401-position model. Lineage: Eukaryota; Fungi; Ascomycota; Dothideomycetes; Pleosporales; Didymellaceae. The record is from RNAcentral.
CGGCAACAGCUCAAAUUUGAAAUCUGGCGUCUUCGACGUCCGAGUUGUAAUUUGCAGAGGGCGCUUUGGCAUUGGCAGCGGUCCAAGUUCCUUGGAACAGGACGUCACAGAGGGUGAGAAUCCCGUA